Molecule: long non-coding RNA, 1214 nt
Organism: Atta colombica
Lineage: Eukaryota; Metazoa; Arthropoda; Insecta; Hymenoptera; Formicidae
Exons: 4
Source: RefSeq, a predicted model, not a curated record
UUGGCGUAUGACGUACGAUUUAUUGCCAUCUCUUGGAGACACGACAAUAAGUUGUACGUCAUACGUGAAAGCUUGUGCAUACUUACGUCUACAAUUUAAGUCUAAGUAAAUGUUACGACAAUUCUUGUGCUCAGAUCCUAUUAAGAUACAAUAGGUAUACAGUCAGAGAUUAAAAGGUUGCAAUACUUUUUAUUGAUGGUUUUCGACAAAAUUGUCAGAAUGCGAGCCACUAUUUGCGAAGCAUACCUGUUAACGAGAUGACGGAAUCAAAAUAUACAAAGUAUAAGUAAAUGAGUAUGCAUUAAGCAAAUAUUUUAUAAUUAUUUUGUAUAUUAGGACACCAUAAGACAUGCCGCAGUACAUAUGCGAUUAGAGAGAGAAUGGAUUAUGAUGUUUGCGAAUAAGAUAAUUAAUCUUUCAAGAAGUAUUUUGUCCGAAAGAGAUAGGCACAGAAAUAAAAAGCCAUUGAUCUUCUUUUCGGCCAUAAGCAGCGAAGACAAACAAGCUUAAACAUAAAUUUUUCGUGAAAAAAUAUGACAGAAGUUUAAGGUCUGUUUUCUGUGGCUGAAUUAGUGUACACUUUUGGAUCUUGAAGUGAGAUAAGUACAUAUUUGAUAUUUGUUGAAAAUGAGAAAGAGAGUGCCAGUCUAAUGUAAGAACAGAAAAUAGAUCACUGCAUUCCGUCACACAGACUAUUCUAUAUACAGACUGCUAACUGUUUGAAAAAGUGCCUCCGAUUUUGAUGUAACAUUGGGCCGGAUUCCUUGGCGGAAAAGCGGAAGCCAAUCGGAACUCGCAAUAGGGCGGUACAUUUCGCUUGUCUGCUUCUGUUUUUCCGCGAAUUCUGAUUGAAUUCCGUUUUUCCGUUUUUUUUUCGUCAAUAUGUGAACCCAGCUUUAUAUGCAUGCGUCGAGAACCGUUCCGCGUGACGUAUCUGCACAUGCGCACACAUCAACAUACUAUUUUAAUAGGACCCUUUAACCAGAGAGAGACUUGAGAGAGGAUAUGACGGCCCAAAAUCUGUAACUGCAAAACGCCAUUAUUGUCCUCUGAUAAGUGGAUGGAUAGCCUUAUGUAUCUCCCGCCUUGAAAAAUGGACGAUGUACUCUAAGAAAAGUGGAUGUUGCUAUAUAGUUUACAUCCACUUUGUUAGAGGGCAGUAGUGCGCGACAGCAUUUUGCGAUUACAGAUUUUGAGUCAUGUCAUCUCUCAGA